Austrofundulus limnaeus is the source of this 2181-nucleotide long non-coding RNA. RefSeq lists it as uncharacterized. The record is from RefSeq and is a predicted model, not a curated record. The transcript has 2 exons. Lineage: Eukaryota; Metazoa; Chordata; Actinopteri; Cyprinodontiformes; Rivulidae.
UUUUCUGGUCUGUCUUCGGCGGAUGAAAUAAAGAUAAAAUAAAGAAAAUGGCUUUGCUUUAUUUACUAAAGAGCAAACGAACUUUGCACACCGCAGAUAAUUUAGAAGCGGUUUGUUCGGUGAGUUUCACCACUCCAGGAGCUGUGAGCUGACGGACUAUUUUUUUGUCCCGAGCCCAGUUUAACACCGKGGUCAGUUUAAUGAGCUGCUGACCCACAUCGGUGCUGAUAUCUCCAGUCAGAACACCAACUACAGAUGGUUGAUUUCAGCUCAAGAUCUGCUGUCUGUCUGUUUGUGGGCAACAUUCAGGAAACUGUCACGUGGAAAAAUUWGUCUGAUUGGUUGUGUAGCAGGAGCGUAAGGAAGCAGUUCCACACCAGAACUUUGAAUCAAUACUUCCUCAUCCUCCCAUAUCUACAGAGAACAAUGGCUUCCUCCACUGCCUCGCCCUUUGUCUCCACUGUCUACAAGUGCUAAAAUAAACAGGACUUGCAACCUUCCAUUGAUUAAGCCCUGUUGUGAGAUCCCUUUAAGUGUUCAAAAUGGCCGUUUAUCACAAAGGACCCACCAUUUGCCAGYCUGAAAGUCUCCAGAAGUGGGUUUACAAUCCACAUCUAGACCCUAGGAGACUGUGUUCCCUGCUGAGAUAAUGCCCACGAACAAUCUUCAAAGACAUACUGUACCUAACAUACAAUCUCAUUUAUGGUCUUAGAGCGCCCCUAAAGGCUAGUCUCAUAAUCACAUCAUGAGCAAAUUUUUUUUCUGGGUAAAUUUCUGUUGUUUGGUUGUCUGAUAAAAAAAGAAGAAAAAGAAACAAUGUAUUUUUCUAUCAUGACUCAAUCACUGUGAUAAUAUCUUGAUUUAAUCACUGUACAAGUAAACCCCCAUCAAUCUGUGUUGUUUAAUCAUUUUUAGCAGCAUGAAUGUGAUGUCAGAGAAGCGGGUGACACCCCUUUGUGACUAUCUCUCAGCCAAUCAGAAGUUUGUAAAGUCAGGACAAGAGAUAACAUUUUUUUAUUUGUGUAGAGAGUUUGAAAACAGCAGCGAGAGAGAGAGCGGACAAGGAGUUUCAGGUUCCUCCAUUCCCUUCGGGGACAUUUAUUUUAAUUAUUUUUUUUUUUUUUAUAGUGUAGGGACGAGAUUUGUUCGGGAAACUGUACUUACCAGAACUUCAGUUCGAUCCAUCGGGACCCGAACCGACCUCCUCAUCUCUAGCUAAAAGCCGACCCCAGACAGUCUCGGUGCGUCCAAGCUGUACCCACACGGGACCCCCUUUGAGACCGAGUGGCACCGGUGAUUCAUCUUUGCUCAGAUCUCUCGGUACCCCGGGGCAGAACUGACUGGUUCGCAUCGAAAUGUUGCCAGGACACGUUGAGCGGCGAAAGAUCAGAUUUUUGAACUCUGGCGUCAGCUGCUUUGGAUGCAGCAUGCAUGGAAAAUGCUCUGCUGCACCUUCCACGUUUCUUCUGCARCGCACUAAAUGGACCUGACYCACCGCAAGAGCCCUGGAGGCGUGUCCACCACAGACUUUCCAUGUAAACUGGCUGCUCCUGCAGAUCAAAACACGUUCAGUGUGAACGUACUAUAAGACGGCCUUUUUAGACCAAAGCUUCCUCAUUUACAAGCCUAAUUCCAGAAGAAAUAACAGAAUUCAAUGAUCUGCAAAUCCUUUUCAGCCUAUACUUAGCUGAAUACACUACAAAGACAAGAUGUUCAAACAGAUAAACUUUUUUUUCUUUGCAAAUAUUCACUCAUUUUGAAUCUGCCCAUUGAAAGUGUGUGGAGACCCCGACAACAGAGACCCCGGACUGUUGAGCAACUGAAGUUGUUCAUCAAGCAAGAAUAAAAGAAUUCAGCUAAAAAGCUUCAACAAUCAGUGUCCUCAGUUCACAAACARUUAUUMUGUGUUGUUAAAGGAAAGCUGAUGSAACACAGUGGUGAACAUGUCCCAGCUUUAUGGAACGUGAUGCAGGCUUCAAAUUCAAAAGGAGUGAAUAUUUAUACAAAAACAAAGUUUAUCAGUUUGAACAUUAAAUAUCUUGUCUUUGUAGUGGAUUCAAUUAAAUAUUGGUUGAAAAGGAUUUGUAAAGCAUUGUAUUGUUUUUAUUUAGGUUUUACACAAAGUCACAACUUCACUGGAACAGGAGUUGUACAAAUAAACCUAAUAUGUUGCAAAAUGUU